Molecule: long non-coding RNA, 474 nt
Filed under: Ananas comosus (pineapple)
Lineage: Eukaryota; Viridiplantae; Streptophyta; Magnoliopsida; Poales; Bromeliaceae
Description: long non-coding RNA (ACOM_LNC019609)
Source: RNAcentral
CACAUAAAAUAUAGGGUCUUUCCGCGAUUUAUCCGUUUAGCCGCUUUGACCCCUCAGCGAACAUUUGCAAUAUCCGGCAAUCCGUUCAUCGGAUUUCCGAACGGAUCGCACCAUCGCGUUCAGCACAACGAGGGCAUCCAAACUACCAUCUUGUUUCGUCAGAUUUGGUCACGGAUUCGCGACGGAACCCAUCCGCUCUCUAAUUAAUCCGUAUAUCGCACAUAUACCCAAGCAUAAACUCUAAAACCUUUAAUUCAAAUUCAAAUUUGAAUUCCCUACCACCAGUAGGUAUCAGAAACAACUCUCACCUAACCCCAGGUCACAAGCACAGAGCACGCGGAGCUUUAAAACGCACGAAUAGCAAAGAGCGGGAACCCUCUUUUUGAUAAAAUUCCUUUUUCUCGAUAACCGUGCAUCAGAAUCCGAUUCUGUCAGCGCCAAUGGUUCCAGUAUAGUCGAGAGGUUCGAAACGAG